CUGUAGCCUCUUCUGGACCCCAGAGUCUACAUUUUUAUUCAUAGCCAAGACUCUGAUGGGAAUAACAUACUUGUUCUCUCCUCUGUUUUCUUCUAAACAUGCAACUUACUGCGUUCUGACCUCUACCCACACCAUGCCAUUGAAAUCACUCUCCUACCAAAAUUAUCAAUGACUUCCACAGAGUGAAAGCCAAUAGGUACUUUUCCUGCUGGGUGUGGUGGUACACACCAGAAAUCCCAGUGACUCUGGAGGCUGAGGCAGGAGGAUCACAAAUUCAAGGCCAGCCUCAGCAACUUAGCAAGGCCCUGUGGGGAGCCAUUCUCACACGUGACUGGGCAACUCCCGGUUUGGGUCUGAGGCACUCUGGCUAACUGUGUCAGAGCUUUCCCGGCCCUCUCCUGAUGAGAGAGCCUGUCCGUGUGGGGGUGUGACUGACCACUGACCCCGGGGGCCAAUCACUGACCCUGACCUUGGAGUGCAGCCCCCCUCAACCUUCAUUGGAUGGAAUUCUCCCCUGAAUUUCUUGUUCCCCAAUAAAAGGCUACUCCCUGGCGUGCUCCCUCUCUCUCUCUCCUGCUAGCCCUGAGUAAUCCUUGCUGCCCUACCGGGUGGUUCCAGGUGAGAGCCAGAGGGGGAGCCGUCAGAUU
This 647-nucleotide long non-coding RNA is filed under the name Marmota monax (woodchuck). The record is from RNAcentral. Lineage: Eukaryota; Metazoa; Chordata; Mammalia; Rodentia; Sciuridae.